RNAcentral lists this long non-coding RNA (1521 nucleotides) under Fragaria vesca (wild strawberry). RNAcentral's name for it is "long non-coding RNA (FVES_LNC003027)". The record is from RNAcentral. Lineage: Eukaryota; Viridiplantae; Streptophyta; Magnoliopsida; Rosales; Rosaceae.
ACAAUUCACAUACAGAAUAUANNNNNNNNNNNNNNNNNNNNAUAUAUAUAUAUAUAUAUAUAUAUAUAUAUAUAUAUAUAUAUAGAGAGCUUCUCAGUUAUGGACGUCUGUAUUUUUUCUUACGGUGCGGAUUUCCACGUUACACUCAUUUCAAUCGAAUUUUCACAUCUCCACCGUUUAGUAUUUAGAUAUUAAUGUAUAGAUCAUCUUUGUAAAAUUUCAGCCAAUUUGGUUAUUAUUAAGGUGUUUAAAGAAAUUAUGUUUCCGUCCUUCUGUUAUGUGUCUUGUCCUAAUACACAUAGGAUUGGUUAAUUCGGUUUCCUUAUUAGAAUAGAUUACAGUUGAUAGAACUUCUAGAUUUUUCGGGAGACUCUAUGUAAUGCCUAUGAAUAGGUCUUUCUAUCAAUGAAUGAGUAGACCGUUAUUCUCGUUAUCUUUUCUCCUUCAACACGUUAUCAGCACUGCGCUCUAACCCGAGCUUGAUAACGAAACCCUAAAAAAAAAAAAAAAAACCAGAAAACCCUAACGUUUUCACGUUUUCUGCCGUACCCAAGAAAAUUGCUCUGGGCACCCACCCACCUUCCCUGAGCUCCCCGGCGACCUCCAAAUCACCUCCGGCGUGGACAACCCUACUCCGGCUUUCCCCGACGCUGCCUUGACCCGGACCUUUACGGCUGAAAAUCCAGCAUCCCCACCGUGAUCGAUUGAACCCAGCACUCGAUCUCCGGCGAACCCAGUUCUGCCCGGAUCCAUCCACAGCUAGCGUCUGCCCUAGCCCAGUCACGAGAGCGCGUCUCCGGAAACGCAAGCGGACCUGCGCCCGAUCCGGGAGUAUCAAACCCCACUCGACCGGCGCCGCCUAGUCCAGCCCCUGCCCGCCCGUCUCUCGGCGUCGCCUGCCCGGCACCACGUCCGCCCCCGACCGCUGAUGCAGACUAGAUCCGACCCGGAUCGUUCUCACCCGAUCCAAAACUUACAGAAUGUAAGAGGGGCAAAACGGUAAAUUUGCCCCUCCAGGUAAAACGUUUUUACCCCACUAGUAAAAACAGUUUAUUUACUCUAGUAACUCUUUAAUUAGUUUUACUCUUUAUAUAUAUGGUGAAUAUGACUAACUAUAUGUUUAUAUUUUUCAUGAAUUUUUGCACGCGACAGAUUGCGAUGGAAUUACAAGAGUAACUUCUGCACGCGUGGAAGUACACAUGAAAAUGGCAAAGACAACUUCUGUUAAACGUAGUUUAUUUGGCAAACUAGCAAGUAAGCUUUUAUAAAAGUUGCCGCUUUUGAAUUUUAAUUUCAUAACCGGGCUUCGUAGCUUUCUUCUACCCCCACCUUUCUUAUAAGUGGAUUGAUGUGAGGAAUUGGGACCUCUCAUAUCAAAGUUGAAAUUUGUGAUGGUUUGACAAGUCAUGGUAUUACGACGAAAUAUUGUCGUGGUUAAUAAAGGGACAAACAUCGAUUUGCGACUGAAAUUGUUGCGGUCAACAUCGAUUUGUGACAGAAAUUUUCACAGUUAACAUUGAU